Haliotis rubra (blacklip abalone) is the source of this 862-nucleotide long non-coding RNA. RefSeq lists it as uncharacterized. The transcript is spliced from 5 exons. The record is from RefSeq and is a predicted model, not a curated record. Lineage: Eukaryota; Metazoa; Mollusca; Gastropoda; Lepetellida; Haliotidae.
GAUGCAAGCCACUAUAAAUCUUGCUGGAGACAUGUGUUCGCUACCCAGGCUCUGACAACAGACAAGAUACGACGAUCAACAAACUUUGGUUUGAAAGUUCCAGAUAUCUGCAGCAACAUGAGCGUUCAGCCAGAAAUAAAAGUUAUCUUGUACAGCAAUACCAACCUCACUGGCGACUGUGUACCAGUCUCUACAGACAUACCGGAUUUGAAAAACUUUCAGAACAGAGCUCAGUCAGCCAUUGUAAUCCAUGGAAGAUGGGAGCUGACAAGCGCUGCGGGAAAUACAUACCCUCUUGACGAUACAGUCGGAAGGUAUACUGUCUUCGGUACUUUCAAACAACAGGCCGUGUCCAUCACCCGAGCAUAAGGCGCCGUUGCCAUGAAGGAAAGGACAUACCAGCCACCUGCAUUUCUGCAUUUUCCUCUGCACUUUCCUGUACUCUUGAUUUUCCUUUACUCCAGAUUAUUAUGCUUUUAAUGUCUAACGUUUGGCUAUGCUUAAGUGGGUUUGCUUGAGAUGGGGAUAGGAAUCGACCUAGGUUGUAAGUGUGUGGUUAUGACAGUGUUCAGAGGCACAUGGUGUACUCUCACUACCUCUUGGAACAGAUUUUAAUGUCAAAAUCACGAAUUGUCAUAAUAUCUACAGAUAAACUCGACAGAGCAAUUACCCUCAAUCAUCUCAAUCCCAACAAUGUUGUCUUUAAUUUCACAAUAAAAUGAUUAUUAAAAAUAACGAUGCAGAAAAUUAUUGCUCCUUUCUAUUCUGUAGUGUUCGGUGUAACGUUAACUUUUCCACCUGUGCGCUUUGCUUCACAUAUACUAUGAUUCGUUUUGAACAAUGAAAGCUAUAAAGAUGAAGG